CAAAGUGCUGUACAGAAACCCAGCCUAAAACCCCAAACAAUGCAUGUGUCGAAGCACGAUGGCUCGGAAAAACUCCCUAGAAAGGCCGGAACCAAGGAAGAAACCAAGAGAGGAACCAGGCUCUGAGGGGGUCCUCUUCUGGCUGUGGAAUGUUUCUGAAGAAUUGUAUGUAUUAAGACUGCAGGGGCUAACCAGAGCCAAAUCCACCACUAAUGCAUUAGCUGAAGGCUUCAAAUAUGCAUCCUCUUGCAAACCCGAACAACUGAGUGCCAUCAACUAAAAUGUGUCUUCCGCAUUUAACCCAACCCCUCUGAAGGUGUGGGGGCUGCCUUAAUCGACAUCCAGCCAUCCAGGAACAAUGGGUUAACUGCCUUGCUCAGGGGCAGAACCACAGAUUUUUACCUUGUCAGCUCGGGGAUUCGAUCCAGCAACCUUUCGGGUAACUGGCCCAACGCUCUAACCACUAGGCUACCUGCCACAUGAGAUUAAGAUCAGAAACCAUUGUCCAUGUUAUUUUAGAGCAAACUCAUUUACACAUGCUGGAUAUGACACGUGUGAAACAAACGACCCUACAAUAAUCAUACGUGUGGGAAAGUAAUCUCAUCAAAAUAAAUCUCUGGAUGAAGCAUGAGCAAUAAUCCAAUUCACAAGAUGACAUACUGGCACGUUUGCAAGCAGAUGGCACAUCAAGUAACAGCUAAAAGGAGCGAUCAUUUAUUUAAAGUUAUCCGCUUUACUUGACGCUAAUCCAAAGCGCUAGCUAGCCUAGCAAGGGAGGCCGCUAGUGCGUCUCUUCUCACAGCUCACCACCCGAAACCUGUCGAAAUGAGUUCAUCAAAUCAGGUCUUCAAACUGCACAGUUGAGAGCAUCCUGUCGGGCUGUAUCAUCGCAUGGUAUGGCAACUGCAAUGCCCGCAACCGCAGUGCUCUCCAGAGGGUGGUGUGGUCUGCCCAACAAAUCACCGGUGGCAAACUACCUGCCUUCUAGGACACCUACAGCACCCGAUGUCACAGGAAGGCCAAAAAGAUCUUCAAGGACAUCAACCACCUGAACCACGGCCUGUUCACUGUUAUCCAGAAGGAGAGAUAAUACUGCACUGGUGGAGCUAGGAACACAAGCAUUUCGCUACACCUGCACUAACAUCUGCUAAAUAUGUGUAUGUGACCAAUAACAUUUGAUUUGAAAAGGUACAGUAUGUUACUCACUCUGUGAAACCAACCUGUUGCAACUCAAACCUCAUGGUGAUAAAAUAAAUAAUACAAUGAAUGUAACUGUCCAUCAA
RNAcentral lists this long non-coding RNA (1283 nucleotides) under Salmo salar (Atlantic salmon). Its description in RNAcentral is "lncRNA (ENSSSAG00000113480.1)". The record is from RNAcentral. Lineage: Eukaryota; Metazoa; Chordata; Actinopteri; Salmoniformes; Salmonidae.